This 279-nucleotide ribosomal RNA is filed under the name uncultured bacterium. RNAcentral's name for it is "partial 16S ribosomal RNA". It matches the Rfam family "Bacterial small subunit ribosomal RNA", at positions 506 to 784 of the family's 1533-position model. The record is from RNAcentral.
UGCCAGCCGCCGCGGUAAUACGGAGGGCGCAAGCGUUACUCGGAAUCACUGGGCGUAAAGAGCGUGUAGGCGGGUUAAUAAGUUUGAAGUGAAAUCCAAUGGCUCAACCAUUGAACUGCUUUGAAAACUGUUAACCUAGAAUAUGGGAGAGGUAGAUGGAAUUUCUGGUGUAGGGGUAAAAUCCGUAGAGAUCAGAAGGAAUACCGAUGGCGAAGGCAGCCAUCUGGCCUAAUACUGACGCUGAGGUACGAAAGCAUGGGGAGCAAACAGGAUUAGAUA